RNAcentral lists this ribosomal RNA (450 nucleotides) under uncultured bacterium. RNAcentral's name for it is "partial 16S ribosomal RNA". It matches the Rfam family "Bacterial small subunit ribosomal RNA", at positions 354 to 796 of the family's 1533-position model. The record is from RNAcentral.
GUGGGGAAUAUUGGACAAUGGGCGAAAGCCUGAUCCAGCCAUGCCGCGUGUGUGAAGAAGGUCUUCGGAUUGUAAAGCACUUUAAGUUGGGAGGAAGGGUAGUAACCUAAUACGUUGCUACUUUGACGUUACCGACAGAAUAAGCACCGGCUAACUUCGUGCCAGCAGCCGCGGUAAUACGAAGGGUGCAAGCGUUAAUCGGAAUUACUGGGCGUAAAGCGCGCGUAGGUGGUUCAGUAAGUUGGAAGUGAAAUCCCCGGGCUCAACCUGGGAACUGCUUUCAAAACUGCUGAGCUAGAGUACGGUAGAGGGUGGUGGAAUUUCCUGUGUAGCGGUGAAAUGCGUAGAUAUAGGAAGGAACACCAGUGGCGAAGGCGACUACCUGGACUGAUACUGACACUGAGGUGCGAAAGCGUGGGGAGCAAACAGGAUUAGAAACCCGAGUAGUCC